RNAcentral lists this long non-coding RNA (5513 nucleotides) under Brassica napus (rape). RNAcentral's name for it is "long non-coding RNA (BNAP_LNC003863)". Lineage: Eukaryota; Viridiplantae; Streptophyta; Magnoliopsida; Brassicales; Brassicaceae. The record is from RNAcentral.
CAGCUCGAGGCUUGGUAUCAAGCAGUUGAUGCAGUUUGCUGGUAGAGUUAGUCUCAUUGUCUCCUUGCUUCUUGUUCUUGUCGUCUCCAUUUCCUGAGCUCUUAACUCUCUUUUCAGGUUCUGAACUUUUCAGCUUGUCCUGCAACAACCCCCCAACAAAAGCGUCACCUUCAAGAAACUAAUACUUAUUCAUUAGUCAAUGCUUUACUUACCAGUAAGGUUGCAUUAGCUCCUCUUAGAUUAUUAGAUUUCUCAUUAAGUUGGUUUAGCUCAGAUCUUAACGCCAUGUUUUCUGCUGUCAAGGCUUCAACUUUCCUAGCCAGUUCUUCAGUCUCAGCCUUUAAAACACAAAUGAUGUGUUAAUGAGAUUCAUACUAAGAACAUACCAAAAAAAAAAAGAGAGAACGUUUUAGAAACAAACCUGUUUCCUUAAUCUUGACCUUCUUGCAGAUUCUCUAUUAGACUGUUUCCUUCUCUCCCGUUUCAGCUCUCUCUCGUUCUGAACAACAAAAAAUGGAUAAACUUGUGAGGGAAGAUGUAAAAAAACUAGCUAGAUGGAAGACUAAGUCACUAAGGGUACCUGAAGCCAAGUUUCAGGAGGAACCAUGGCUAAAGAUUGUGACAUGAAGGUUGGGUUUGAAUUUGCACUUACACCAGCAGCAGAGACUAUAGCUCCACCUCCUCCUUGAACACUAUGCUUUACAACGUUAUCACCACUUGACUGAGAAACAGACCGAAAUGAGCUUGACUGAACCAAAUGUUUCUUCUCAUCUACACACACACACAAAAAAAUCAUCAUUCACACCAAAUCUCUCUCUCUCUCUCUCUCUCUCUCUCUCUCUCUCUCUGUGGGAGAUGCAAAAAAGACUAAUACCUUUGGUUGGAGUUCCUUCUCGGCUUCUCUUAAGUUUCGGUUCAUCAGCCUAAACACAUGCAUAAAAUGGUUUAAGCUUUAGCCCAUUUAGUUUCUAACAAAGGAAUAGAUGAGACUACAAGAGACAUUAUUGCCCCAGUGAGACGAUGGUGAUGAUUGCAGAGAUUGGGAAACUUGGUUUCUAAGAGAUUUCGAGUUUUGUGUGUUGUGUGUUUGUCGGAAAGGGUUGAGACGUGAGGAUGAGAAUUCAUUUUGAAACCGAUACUCACGCACGCGCGCCGUUUUUCAUAAAUGCUGACGUGGUCCCUCUUUUUGCUCUUUACCUACCAUCAAGGCUUGCUUGCAUUUGAAGCCAAAUAAGAAAAAGAAGAAUAAGAAGAAGAUAUAUAUUUUUAGAUCUUUUUCUAUAGAUAUACUUACUAUACCGUGGCCACAGAGGUGGUGCUUUGGUCUUGCAAUGUCUCCAGUAAGUGUUGUUGAUUGUGUUAUAGAAGAAACCUUUUUUUUUUGUUUUAGUCUUUCAAAGCUGAAUGGCUAGUUGUUUUCUUUAGGUGACUCGUAGAGAUUCAUAACUGGUGGUGCUGAUCAGACUGCAAGGCUGUGGGAUGUGAAGAUUUAAAAACAAUUUUUUCAUAUUCAGUUUCGGUUCUCCUGCCAGUUCUGUUGACUUCUUUUUUUCUGUUGGAGAUAAGCUUGCCAUUGAUUACCACUGUUCCCUUUAUGGAGCUUACCUAUGCUAUUCAUGUCACAGAAGAUACCAAAGACCAUCAGUUGGUAGCUCAAAAUCUAAGCCCUUGGCAUAUUUCUUAAAAAUGUAUGUUAAAAAGGAAAAAUGUUUCUUUGUUUAUAAAGCCAUUAUUAUUAUUAGCUUUAAACAUAUGCCUGGUGCUGCUGCCAUUGUUGCUAGACUGGGAACUUGCUCAAGCAAUCAUAUGAGGAAGUGGGUCACAAGAAUACCAUAACAUGGCUCUCUAAAGUAGCUGAUGAUUCUCAUUUCCUUACAGGUUCACUUGACAAAAACUGCAAAGAGGCAUGUUUACGUGUUCCUUUCUUUUGCUUCAGAGUUUUGCGUUAUAAUUUAUAUUUUUUUUAAAUUGAAUAAAAUAAAUUAAGUAAAAAUGUAAAAAGGUGUAAAAAAAUUAAUAAAAUAUCUUUUUAAGAAAUGCAAAAUCUACAGAUGAAAUUUGCUAAAUACAUAACGACAGAGACAAUAGCAUGAAGAAAACACACUUUGCCUCCUAAAGACAAAAACUGUUUGUUUGUGAAUCCACAUUCUAAUCUUGAUUCUCUGUUCAUCCAUAUGCCCAUCGUAAGUAUUCCUGCUCCCGCAGUUGCUACGAUCCUGUUCUCCACCAUCAUCCAAUCCACAAACACCACCAACAAGUGUCAAUUUCAUAACAAAAGUUCAAGUAAUACUGUAUAUGUUAAAAAAUAUAUAUACUGUAUAUGUAUUAUAUAUAAAAAAAUGUUAAUGUGUUGUAUUUGCUCGCAAAAUUUGAAUCUUAAAACAAUUUAUGUGAUGAUUAUGACAUCUAUUUUUACUUUUAGAGUAUUAAUUUUUUUAAUUACCAAGUGAGAUAAAUACAGGCCAUGGUGACGCGUUGUGUGAUCUUAGGUGCGGAGAAUACUGUGACUAUGGGGAAUACUGUGACUAUAGUAUGGGAGUCGGAGAUAAUGCAUCCUAUCAUAACGGCGAUGAAAUGAGCUGCUAACAAACAUCCUAAUGCUAUUAACCCUAACACGAAAGCUUUUUUGCUUGGAGAUUUACACUCGAGUAACCACACCCCCGUUUCCACCUGCAUCAUGGGCAUAACAUAAAUGAAACAAUCAUCGUCAUCAUUAUCAUUAUUUGUUUACUAAUGGUAUAUAUAAGAUAUAUAUAUAUAUGUAUCCAGUGGUGGAGCUAGGAAAAUUUGUCAAGAAGAUCAAUUUAUAAUUAACAUAUAUCAUAGGAGUCAAUUACCUAAAAUUUACACUUAUUUCGAAAAAAAUUACAUGUAAAGAAAUUUUGUUCAUACAUUCAUAUGGGUCAACUGACCCACAUGCUAUCAACGUACCUCUGUCACUGUAUGUGCCUUUUGUUGGGCGACUUCGGCUAGCAUUGCCACGAAACCAGCAACGACAUCUAAUCCCACCAUCAAUAAUAUACUAAAAACAAAUAUAACACUAAAGCAUUUUCCCCUCUCUAUCAUUUUUAUUAUAUUCAAGUUUAAUCUUCAGUCUUCACUUUGAAAGAUUGGAUUAUUGUUGAAAUUGAUAGUAUUGUGUGAAGAGAGAAAGUACGGUACUCCAUCUUCUAAAUAAAAUGGAUUUAUAUAUAAAGGCUAGAGUCUGGAGUGGAUCUUAGCUUACGUGGAAGGUAGCUGAGUGAGUAACUUUGUUCAUUCCUAUCUACAUUAGUAGUCAAAUAAAAAUGUGUUCAUAGAUAAUAUCAAAUUAAAUAAUGAUUAUCUUUUGGUCAGAAACUUCUGUAGUCAUAUUUUUCUCACUUGUUUUCCUUUUUUCUUUUGGAAUUCAAUCAGCUUUGAGUCAAAAGUUAUAAUUUCUUUAGACUAUGGAUAAGAACCGGUUAUUAAAUCUUCUCUUUAUAUUUAUUUAAGAUUCGAAUCUAACACUUCUACUUUUAAAGAAGAAAAAUUUACCAAUAGAACUACCAAUUUAAGAUACAUUUCUUUGUAUCUUCACAAAACACAUAUUAUUAAUAUAGAAUAUAUACACUUGCUUAUAUGUAAGUUCUCACCUAAAAUACAAAAAAUGUAUAUAUUUCCAUUACUAAAGAUGUAUAUCAGCAAAAUAUAUAUCUUUGACCAUGAGAAAGGUGAGGAAAGGAUAACAGACUUCAAUACAUGAAUGGGGAAAGAGAAAAUUCCGGCGAUGAUAUACGAUAUGUUGUAGUGUUUCUCCUGCAUUCAAACAAAAAUAGUGUUUCUCCUAUUAUAAAUAUAUACAAAUAACUGACCACUUUGUAAUCUGUUGUGAAAGCAACAUCGGUGGUAAACUUUGGGGUUUAUAUAUGUUUCUCCAAAGAUUGUUUAUGAUCCUUUGGGGUAGUAAAUCUCUUUCUCGUUUUUUAUUUAAUACUAUUUUUGAUUGGAUUUUUCAUUGCUCACAACUACUAUAUAUAAUAAAGAUCAAAAUUGCAAUGGUUAACCACCAAAAAUUAUAAUGGUUGAUCACCAAAAAUUGUAAUGAUUCACUUAAGUUUUUAACAAAACAUUAUUUAUGAAAGUAAAAAAAAAUGUUAAAAAGCAAAAGAAAUUUCUGAAAACAGAAGGAAUUAUAAACAAAACGCACAACAAAUAAUUACGAGCGAAAUGUAUAAUACACGUUUAUAUUUUAAAUAGAUACAUCAUUUCAAAACAGUUUAAUUAUAAAAAGACACUUUAUAACAAUUUUCAAAAAAAAUAUUUUUUAUAUAGACACAUCAUUUAAAAAAUAACUUUAUGACUCUUUACACUAACUAAUUCUUGGUAUAAAUAAUUAUACAAAGACACUUUUGGAAUAUUUAACAACAUUUAAAAACUAAUAUAUCGUUUUAGAUGAAAAGACACAACUCUUAAAGUUGAUACUCGUUAGAAUUGCAUGUUGGAAACACACAUAUGUAAACUGACAACUUUUGAAAUAGAAUACAACCUAUCAAUUUAAUUGAAAUUUACAAUAUUUUGAAUUAAUUGGGAUUGUUAUUAUUGAAAUAGAUAUAAAGAGAGAAAUCUUGUGGAAAGAGUUUUGUUUUUUCAGCUGUGGGUACAUGAGGACGCUGACUCUUGUAAAAGGACUUACACUACAGGGACUCCCUCUAAAAUGCUGUUCCCAUGUCUCCACGUCUCGACCAUGGCUAAUAAUAUGCUUCAUUAAAUUCAGCACUCAACAAGUCAUGAUGAUAUUAUCUUUUGCUUGGAGGUGGUCAAGAUGUAGGCAUCAGCUGUAAAUACCACUGAUAAUCGUGAUAGGCAACUUCUUGAUCCAUUCAUUGAUUGUGUAUGUAUCAUGAUGAGUUUUGCUAAUUUUGGACCUAAUAUAUAUAAGCUGAUUUUCAUGUACCACUCCAGAUUUUGAGUAGAGAUUUAUAGAAAUAUUUGUUAUUAUUGAUUUUCUUAUCCAAGCAAAGCAACAAACACCGAUCUGAGAGAUGUCUCUCACACAUACACUACAUCAUGAGGUCUAUACUGAAUGCAACAAAGGAAGCCAUAUAUAAAAAUAGAGCCUCUCCAUAUUAACAACCACCCCCUCUCUCUCUGAAAAUCUAUAUAUAUAUAUAGAUCAAAUCAUCUCCAUCUCCAUCUCUUCUAUACUAUCUAACAAGUUUUCUGGAAUUAGCAUACACUUGUUUUGUUUGUUUCUGUCGACAAAUUAAGUAGAAGUCGACACACCAGAGUGUUAUGAUUAGCGAGCAGCUACACCAUCAGCUCGAGGCUUUGUAUCAAGCAGUUGAUGCAGUUUGCUGGUCGAGUUAGUCUCAUUGUCUCCUUGCUUCUUGUUCUUGUCGUCUCCAUUUCCUGAGCUCUUAACUCUCUUUUCAGGUUCUGAACUUUUCAGCUUGUCCUGCAACCCCCCAACAAAAGCGUCACCUUCAAGAAACUAAUACUUAUUCAUUAGUCAAUGCUUUACUUACCAGUAAGGUUGCAUUAGCUCCUCUUAG